AGAGUUUGAUCCUGGCUCAGAUUGAACGCUGGCGGCAGACCUAACACAUGCAAGUCGAACGGUAACAGGAAGCAGCUUGCUGCUUCGUUGACGAGUGGCGGACGGGUGAGUAAUGUAUGGGGAUCUGCCGAAUGGAAUGGGACAACAGUUGGAAACGACUGCUAAUACCGUAUAAUGUCGCGAGACCAAAGUGUGGGACUUUCGGGCCACAUGCCAUUUGAUGAACCCAUAUGGGAUUAGCUAGUAGGUGGGGUAAUGGCUCACCUAGGCGACGAUCCCUAGCUGGUCUGAGAGGAUGACCAGCCACACUGGAACUGAGACACGGUCCAGACUCCUACGGGAGGCAGCAGUGGGGAAUAUUGCACAAUGGGCGCAAGCCUGAUGCAGCCAUGCCGCGUGUAUGAAGAAGGCCUUCGGGUUGUAAAGUACUUUCAGCGAGGAGGAAGGCGUUGUGGUUAAUAACCGCAGCGAUUGACGUUACUCGCAGAAGAAGCACCGGCUAACUCCGUGCCAGCCGCCGCGGUAAUUC
This 529-nucleotide ribosomal RNA is filed under the name uncultured bacterium. Its description in RNAcentral is "bacterial SSU rRNA". It matches the Rfam family "Bacterial small subunit ribosomal RNA", at positions 8 to 526 of the family's 1533-position model. The record is from RNAcentral.